Molecule: unclassified non-coding RNA, 751 nt
Filed under: Hevea brasiliensis (rubber tree)
Lineage: Eukaryota; Viridiplantae; Streptophyta; Magnoliopsida; Malpighiales; Euphorbiaceae
Source: RNAcentral
GGAACAACAGCCUCUUAACUAUGUCCACGAGACGGUACUGAAGAAGAGGAAAAACAAUGAUGAGUGGGCCCUGAAGAGGAGGGAGAGGUUGGAUGCUCAGAAGCAGAAGACGAAAGAUAAGAAGAAAGCUGCGAUCAAAAGGCCCGAGCAGUUUGUCAAAGAAUUUCGUGACAAAGAAUUAGACUUCAUUCGGAUGAAGAAAAGGCUAAAACUAAGAAAGACUUCACAUUAUGACCUCAAGUCAAAGCUGCUCUUUGUUAUUCGCAUUCACGGCUCGCAAGACAUGCAUCCGAGGUCUAGAAAAAUCCUGAAUUCAUUGAGGUUGAGACAAAACCUCACCGGCGUGUUCGUCAAGGUUAAUGAAGCAACUUUGAAAAUGCUACUCGCUGUCGAACCAUUCAUCACUUAUGGCUAUCCUAGUUUGAAGAGCAUAAGGGAUUUGGUUUUUAAGAAAGGCUGUGGGAAGAUAGAGAGGCAAAGGGUUCCUCUCACAGACAACAAUCUCAUUGAACAGGAACUUGGGAAGCAUGGAGUUAUCUGCAUUGAAGACAUUGUCCAUGAAGUUGCGACAUUGGGUCCCCAUUUUAAAGAAGUGAACAGCUUCUUAUGGCCUUUCAAGCUAAAGAUGCCAGAGAGACGGCUGCAGAUGAAUAAGAAACAAUUCAAAGAUGGUGGCCAUGUUGGGAAUCGUGAAGAUAAAAUCAACGAGCUUAUCGAUAAGUUGAACUAGGAUGUGGACAUAACUUUUGUG